RNAcentral lists this ribosomal RNA (377 nucleotides) under uncultured bacterium. RNAcentral describes it as "bacterial SSU rRNA". It matches the Rfam family "Bacterial small subunit ribosomal RNA", at positions 521 to 896 of the family's 1533-position model. The record is from RNAcentral.
UAAUACAGAGGUGGCAAGCGUUGUUCGGAAUUACUGGGCGUAAAGGGCGCGUAGGCGGCCUUCUAAGUCAGACGUGAAAUCCCCAGGCUUAACUUGGGAACUGCGUCUGAUACUGGAAGGCUUGAGUGCGGGAGAGGGAUGUGGAAUUCCAGGUGUAGCGGUGAAAUGCGUAGAUAUCUGGAGGAACACCGGUGGCGAAGGCGGCAUCCUGGACCGACACUGACGCUGAGGCGCGAAAGCCAGGGGAGCAAACGGGAUUAGAUACCCCGGUAGUCCUGGCCCUAAACGAUGAGUGCUUGGUGUGGCGGGUAUCGAUCCCUGCCGUGCCGAAGCUAACGCAUUAAGCACUCCGCCUGGGGAGUACGGUCGCAAGGCUG